CUCCUGGAAACGGGUGGUAAUGCCGGAUGUUCCACAUGAGCGCAUGCGAGUGUGGGAAAGGCUUUUUGCGGCAUGGGAUGGGGUCGCGUCCUAUCAGCUUGUUGGUGGGGUAACGGCCUACCAAGGCGUUGACGGGUAGCCGGCCUGAGAGGGCGACCGGCCACAUUGGGACUGAGAUACGGCCCAGACUCCUACGGGAGGCAGCAGUGGGGAAUAUUGCACAAUGGGCGCAAGCCUGAUGCAGCGACGCCGCGUGCGGGAUGGAGGCCUUCGGGUUGUAAACCGCUUUUGUUCAAGGGCAAGGCACGGUUUCGGCCGUGUUGAGUGGAUUGUUCGAAUAAGCACCGGCUAACUACGUGCCUGCAGCCGCGGUAAUACGUAGGGUGCAAGCGUUAUCCGGAUUUAUUGGGCGUAAAGGGCUCGUAGGCGGUUCGUCGCGUCCGGUGUGAAAGUCCAUCGCUUAACGGUGGAUCCGCGCCGGGUACGGGCGGGCUUGAGUGCGGUAGGGGAGACUGGAAUUCCCGGUGUAACGGUGGAAUGUGUAGAUAUCGGGAAGAACACC
This 562-nucleotide ribosomal RNA is filed under the name uncultured bacterium. Its description in RNAcentral is "bacterial SSU rRNA". It matches the Rfam family "Bacterial small subunit ribosomal RNA", at positions 147 to 710 of the family's 1533-position model. The record is from RNAcentral.